GACGAACGCUAGCUACAGGCUUAACACAUGCAAGUCGAGGGGAAACGGCAUUGAGUGCUUGCACUCUUUGGACGUCGACCGGCGCACGGGUGAGUAACGCGUAUCCAACCUUCCCAUGACUAAGGGAUAACCUGCCGAAAGGCAGACUAAUACCCUAUGGUCUUCACUGACGGCAUCAGAUGUGAAGUAAAGAUUUAUCGGUUAUGGAUGGGGAUGCGUCUGAUUAGUUAGUUGGCGGGGUAACGGCCCACCAAGGCAACGAUCAGUAGGGGUUCUGAGAGGAAGGUCCCCCACAUUGGAACUGAGACACGGUCCAAACUCCUACGGGAGGCAGCAGUGAGGAAUAUUGGUCAAUGGGCGAGAGCCUGAACCAGCCAAGUAGCGUGCAGGACGACGGCCCUAUGGGUUGUAAACUGCUUUUGUAUGGGGAUAAAGUCAAUCACGUGUGAUUGUUUGCAGGUACCAUACGAAUAAGGACCGGCUAAUUCCGUGCCAGCAGCCGCGGUAAUACGGAAGGUCCGGGCGUUAUCCGGAUUUAUUGGGUUUAAAGGGAGCGUAGGCUGGAGAUUAAGUGUGUUGUGAAAUGUAGACGCUCAACGUCUGACUUGCAGCGCAUACUGGUUUCCUUGAGUACGCACAACGUUGGCGGAAUUCGUCGUGUAGCGGUGAAAUGCUUAGAUAUGACGAAGAACUCCGAUUGCGAAGGCAGCUGACGGGAGCGCAACUGACGCUGAAGCUCGAAGGUGCGGGUAUCGAACAGG
RNAcentral lists this ribosomal RNA (761 nucleotides) under Prevotella melaninogenica. Its description in RNAcentral is "bacterial SSU rRNA". It matches the Rfam family "Bacterial small subunit ribosomal RNA", at positions 28 to 776 of the family's 1533-position model. The record is from RNAcentral. Lineage: Bacteria; Pseudomonadati; Bacteroidota; Bacteroidia; Bacteroidales; Prevotellaceae.